GGAUUGUGGCUCAGCGGUAGAACGCUUGCCUAGCAUGUGUGAGGCCCUGGGUUUGAUCCUCAGCACCA
This 68-nucleotide transfer RNA is filed under the name Marmota monax (woodchuck). Its description in RNAcentral is "tRNA.Ala". Lineage: Eukaryota; Metazoa; Chordata; Mammalia; Rodentia; Sciuridae. The record is from RNAcentral.